GUCCACCGGCACCACCAGCAGCUUCCCACCAGCAGCCAAACCGAGCACGGACAGGAGCAGAACCAGCGUCGCCGUGACUUGCGGAUGAGCGCUAAGCACUGGGGCCAUGUCUGCAGAAAUCUGGUGCGAGGACAACUAUUUCAUGCCCCUUCUGCCUGACUCCUGUCUACCAGCAGCUUCCCACCAGCAGCCAAACUGAGCAUGGACAGAAGCAGAACCAGCAUUGUCGUGACUUGUGGAUGAGCACUAAGCACUGGGGCCAUUUUUCUGCAGAAAUCUGUUUAUGCCUCCAAUGAAAAUCAUAUUGGGCAUCAAUGGCAUGGGAUAGUCAAAGACAAAGUCAAGUCUCUUCAGCCAAACGGAUCCGUGACUUAAAAGCUGCGUAAUUGUCAUCGGCUUUUGGAGAAAUUCUG
Molecule: long non-coding RNA, 413 nt
Organism: Grus americana (Whooping crane)
Lineage: Eukaryota; Metazoa; Chordata; Aves; Gruiformes; Gruidae
Exons: 3
Source: RefSeq, a predicted model, not a curated record